UUGAUCUGAAAUCAGGCGGGAUUACCCGCUGAACUUA
This 37-nucleotide ribosomal RNA is filed under the name zygomycete sp. GFI 7. RNAcentral's name for it is "partial 28S ribosomal RNA". Lineage: Eukaryota; Fungi; Mucoromycota. The record is from RNAcentral.